UGGGGAAUAUUGCACAAUGGGCGAAAGCCUGAUGCAGCAACGCCGCGUGAGUGAUGAAGGUCUUCGGAUUGUAAAGCUCUGUCUUUUGGGACGAUAAUGACGGUACCAAAGGAGGAAGCCACGGCUAACUACGUGCCAGCAGCCGCGGUAAUACGUAGGUGGCGAGCGUUGUCCGGAUUUACUGGGCGUAAAGGGUGCGUAGGCGGAUGUUUAAGUGAGAUGUGAAAUACCCGG
Molecule: ribosomal RNA, 234 nt
Filed under: uncultured bacterium
Lineage: Bacteria
Description: partial 16S ribosomal RNA
Rfam family: Bacterial small subunit ribosomal RNA
Source: RNAcentral